GACGAACGCUGGCGGCGUGCCUAAUACAUGCAAGUCGAACGCAUUUUCUUUCACCGUAGCUUGCUACACCGAAAGAAAAUGAGUGGCGAACGGGUGAGUAACACGUGGGUAACCUGCCCAUCAGCGGGGGAUAACACUUGGAAACAGGUGCUAAUACCGCAUAAUUCCAUUUACUGCAUGGUAGAUGGAUGAAAGGCGCUUUUGCGUCACUGAUGGAUGGACCCGCGGUGCAUUAGCUAGUUGGUGGGGUAACGGCCUACCAAGGCUGCGAUGCAUAGCCGACCUGAGAGGGUGAUCGGCCACACUGGGACUGAGACACGGCCCAGACUCCUACGGGAGGCAGCAGUAGGGAAUCUUCGGCCAUGGACGCAAGUCUGACCGAGCAACGCCGCGUGAGUGAAGAAGGUUUUCGGAUCGUAAAACUCUGUUGUUAGAAAAGAACAAGGAUGAGAGUGGAAAGUUCAUCCCUUGACGGUAUCUAACCAGAAAGCCACGGCUAACUACGUG
Molecule: ribosomal RNA, 507 nt
Filed under: uncultured bacterium
Lineage: Bacteria
Description: partial 16S ribosomal RNA
Rfam family: Bacterial small subunit ribosomal RNA
Source: RNAcentral